GCCUGGCUGACUCAGUUGGUAGAGCAUGUGACUCUUGAUCUCAGGGCUGUGAGUUCAAGCCCCACAUUGGGUG
Molecule: transfer RNA, 73 nt
Filed under: Felis catus (domestic cat)
Lineage: Eukaryota; Metazoa; Chordata; Mammalia; Carnivora; Felidae
Also listed under: 4 other names
Rfam family: tRNA
About the family: Transfer RNA (tRNA) molecules are approximately 80 nucleotides in length. Their secondary structure includes four short double-helical elements and three loops (D, anti-codon, and T loops).
Source: Rfam by way of RNAcentral